GACGAACGCUGGCGGCGUGCCUAAUACAUGCAAGUCGAACGAGAGCGACCGGUGCUUGCACUGGUCAAUCUAGUGGCGAACGGGUGAGUAACACGUGGGUAACCUGCCCAUCAGAGGGGGAUAACAUCCGGAAACGGAUGCUAAAACCGCAUAGGUCUUCGAACCGCAUGGUUUGAAGAGGAAAAGAGGCGCAAGCUUCUGCUGAUGGAUGGACCCGCGGUGCAUUAGCUAGUUGGUGAGGUAACGGCUCACCAAGGCCGUGAUGCAUAGCCGACCUGAGAGGGUGAGCGGCCACAUUGGGACUGAGACACGGCCCAAACUCCUACGGGAGGCAGCAGUAGGGAAUCUUCCGCAAUGGACGCAAGUCUGACGGAGCAACGCCGCGUGAGUGAAGAAGGUUUUCGGAUCGUAAAACUCUGUUGUUAGAGAAGAACAAGUGCUAGAGUAACUGUUAGCGCCUUGACGGUAUCUAACCAGAAAGCCACGGCUAACUACGUG
RNAcentral lists this ribosomal RNA (498 nucleotides) under uncultured bacterium. RNAcentral describes it as "partial 16S ribosomal RNA". It matches the Rfam family "Bacterial small subunit ribosomal RNA", at positions 28 to 507 of the family's 1533-position model. The record is from RNAcentral.